Molecule: transfer RNA, 74 nt
Filed under: Cryptomonas sp. SAG 977-2f
Lineage: Eukaryota; Cryptophyceae; Cryptomonadales; Cryptomonadaceae
Description: tRNA-Asp
Rfam family: tRNA
About the family: Transfer RNA (tRNA) molecules are approximately 80 nucleotides in length. Their secondary structure includes four short double-helical elements and three loops (D, anti-codon, and T loops). Further hydrogen bonds mediate the characteristic L-shaped molecular structure. tRNAs have two regions of fundamental functional importance: the anti-codon, which is responsible for specific mRNA codon recognition, and the 3' end, to which the tRNAs corresponding amino acid is attached (by aminoacyl-tRNA synthetases). tRNAs cope with the degeneracy of the genetic code in two manners: having more than one tRNA (with a specific anti-codon) for a particular amino acid; and 'wobble' base-pairing, i.e. permitting non-standard base-pairing at the 3rd anti-codon position.
Source: RNAcentral
GGGAUCGUAGUUCAACUGGUUAGAGCACCGCCCUGUCACGGCGGAAGUUGCGGGUUCGAACCCCGUCGGUCCCG